This 169-nucleotide ribosomal RNA is filed under the name uncultured bacterium. RNAcentral's name for it is "partial 16S ribosomal RNA". It matches the Rfam family "Bacterial small subunit ribosomal RNA", at positions 338 to 524 of the family's 1533-position model. The record is from RNAcentral.
CCUACGGGAGGCAGCAGUGGGGAAUAUUGGACAAUGGGCGAAAGCCUGAUCCAGCAAUGCCGCGUGAGUGAUGAAGGCCUUAGGGUUGUAAAGCUCUUUUACCAGGGAUGAUAAUGACAGUACCUGGAGAAUAAGCUCCGGCUAACUCUGUGCCAGCAGCCGCGGUAAU